GACGAACGCUGGCGGCGUGCUUAACACAUGCAAGUCGAACGGAAAGGCCCUGCUUUUGUGGGGUGCUCGAGUGGCGAACGGGUGAGUAACACGUGAGUAACCUGCUCUUGACUUUGGGAUAACUUCAGGAAACUGGGGCUAAUACCGGAUAGGAGCUCCUGCUGCAUGGUGGGGGUUGGAAAGUUUCGGCGGUUGGGGAUGGACGGGCGGCUUAUCAGCUUGUUGGUGGGGUAGUGGCUUACCAAGGCUUUGAAGGGUAGCCGGCCUGAGAGGGUGACCGGGCACAUGGGUACUGAGAGAGGGCCCAGACUCCUACGGGAGGCAGCAGUGGGGAAUAUUGCACAAUGGGCGGAAGCCUGAUGCAGCAGCGCCGCGUGCGGAAUGACGGCCUUCGGGUUGUAAACCGCUUUCGCCUGUGACGAAGCGUGAGUGACGGUAAUGGGUAAAGAAGCACCGGCUAACUACGUG
Molecule: ribosomal RNA, 468 nt
Filed under: uncultured bacterium
Lineage: Bacteria
Description: partial 16S ribosomal RNA
Rfam family: Bacterial small subunit ribosomal RNA
Source: RNAcentral